CAGCAGCCGCGGGAAUACGAAGGGGGCUAGCGUUGCUCGGAAUCACUGGGCGUAAAGGGUGCGUAGGCGGGUCUUUAAGUCAGGGGUGAAAUCCUGGAGCUCAACUCCAGAACUGCCUUUGAUACCGGAGAUCUUGAGUUCGGGAGAGGUGAGUGGAACUGCGAGUGUAGAGGUGAAAUUCGUAGAUAUUCGCAAGAACACCAGUGGCGAAGGCGGCUCACUGGCCCGAUACUGACGCUGAGGCACGAAAGCGUGGGGAGCAAACAGGAUUAGAGACCCCCGUAGUCCCUGUCUCUUAUAU
This 301-nucleotide ribosomal RNA is filed under the name uncultured bacterium. Its description in RNAcentral is "partial 16S ribosomal RNA". It matches the Rfam family "Bacterial small subunit ribosomal RNA", at positions 509 to 809 of the family's 1533-position model. The record is from RNAcentral.